GAAUAUUGGACAAUGGGCGAAAGCCUGAUCCAGCCAUGCCGCGUGUGUGAAUAAGGUCUUCGGAUUGUAAACCACUUCAAGUUGGGAGGAAGGGCAGUACGCGAAUACCUUACUGUUUUUACGUUACCCCCAGAAUAAUCACCGGCUCACUCUGUGCAAGCAGACGCGGUAAUACAGAGGGUGCAAGCGUUAAUCGUAAUUACUGGGCGUAAAGCGCGCGUAGGGGGUUCGUUAAGUUGGAUGUGAAAUCCCCGGGCUCAACCUGGGAACUGCAUCCAAAACUGGCGAGCUAGAGUAGGGCAGAGGGUGGUGGAAUUUCCUGUGUAGCGGUGAAAUGCGUAGAUAUAGGAAGGAACACCAGUGGCGAAGGCGACCACCUGGGCUCAUACUGACACUGAGGUGCGAAAGCGUGGGGAGCAAACA
Molecule: ribosomal RNA, 423 nt
Filed under: uncultured bacterium
Lineage: Bacteria
Description: partial 16S ribosomal RNA
Rfam family: Bacterial small subunit ribosomal RNA
Source: RNAcentral